GGACUACCGGGGUAUCUAAUCCUGUUUGAUCCCCACGCUUUCGCGCCUCAGCGUCAGUUGUCGUCCAGAUAGCCGCCUUCGCCACCGGUGUUCCUCCUAAUAUCUACGUAUUUCACCACUACAUUAGGAAUUCCGCUAUCCCCUCCGACACUCCAGCUUUACAGUUUCAAAGGCAGUUCUUGGGUUGAGCCCAAGGAUUUCACCCCUGACUUGAAAAGCCGCCUACGCGCGCUUUACGCCCAGUGAUUCCGAACAACGCUAGCACCCUUCGUAUUACCGCGGCUGCUGGCAC
Molecule: ribosomal RNA, 292 nt
Filed under: uncultured bacterium
Lineage: Bacteria
Description: partial 16S ribosomal RNA
Source: RNAcentral